GACGAACGCUGGCGGCGUGCUUAACACAUGCAAGUCGAACGGUGAAGCUCCAGCUUGCUGGAGUGGAUCAGUGGCGAACGGGUGAGUAACACGUGAGCAACCUGCCCCUGACUCUGGAAUAAGCGCUGGAAACGGCGUCUAAUACUGGAUACGAGAAGUGCCCGCAUGGGCACUUUCUGUAAAGUUUUUCGGUUGUGGAUGGGCUCGCGGCCUAUCAGCUUGCUGGUGAGGUAAUGGCUCACCAAGGCGACGACGGGUAGCCGGCCUGAGAGGGCGACCGGCCACACUGGGACUGAGACACGGCCCAGACUCCUACGGGAGGCAGUAGUGGGGAAUAUUGCACAAUGGGGGCAAGCCUGAUGCAGCGACGCCGCGUGAGGGAUGACGGCCUUCGGGUUGUAAACCUCUUUCAGCAGGGAAGAAGCGAAAGUGGCGGUACCUGCAGAAGAAGCACCGGCUAACUACGUG
RNAcentral lists this ribosomal RNA (468 nucleotides) under uncultured bacterium. RNAcentral's name for it is "partial 16S ribosomal RNA". It matches the Rfam family "Bacterial small subunit ribosomal RNA", at positions 28 to 507 of the family's 1533-position model. The record is from RNAcentral.